This 379-nucleotide unclassified non-coding RNA is filed under the name uncultured Alphaproteobacteria bacterium. RNAcentral describes it as "contains 16S-23S intergenic spacer region". Lineage: Bacteria; Pseudomonadati; Pseudomonadota; Alphaproteobacteria. The record is from RNAcentral.
UCCGGCUUAACGCCGGCAGUCCCCCUAGAGUGCCCAACUGAAUGGUGGCAACUAAAGGCAAGGGUUGCGCUCGUUGCGGGACUUAACCCAACAUCCCACGACACGAGCUGACGACAGCCAUGCAGCACCUGUGUUCCUCCCACCCGAAGUGAAGGAUUCCAUCUCUGGAAUCCAUAGAGGACAUGUCAAGGGCUGGUAAGGUUCUUCGCGUUGCUUCGAAUUGAACCACAUGCUCCACCGCUUGUGCGGGCCCCCGUCAAUUCCUUUGAGUUUUAAUCUUGCGACCGUACUCCCCAGGCGGAAUGCUUAAUGCGUUAGCUGCGCCACUGACAGGCAAGCCUGACAACGGCUAGCAUUCAUCGUCUACGGCGUGGACUAC